This is a long non-coding RNA of Papaver somniferum (opium poppy), 711 nucleotides long. RefSeq lists it as uncharacterized. The transcript has 7 exons. The record is from RefSeq and is a predicted model, not a curated record. NCBI's taxonomy places the organism in Eukaryota, Viridiplantae, Streptophyta, Magnoliopsida, Ranunculales, Papaveraceae.
UCCUUCUUUUCCCUCCAAAUUCCCAAUCUUCAUUUCUUAAUCUGUAAUUUCGAGAGAGAUAAUCCUGCAUUUUGAAGUCUAUACUUUCAGAAUCAUUGGCGAUAUAAUCGAUAGAUUAGACCUCAAGACCAUAUUUCAUGUUCGCAUUUCCCGAUUAGUUUUCCAAUCAGUUGGUUUUAGGUUUGAUUCUUCUGAGACGAUGUUACAAUGGAUGGGUGGAUCGAGGAGGAAAGUGACAAAUUCAAGAAAGUCAACACACAAAAGGCAAAAACAGUAUUUUGAUCAAACGAAACGAUAAGAACAUACCAAUGUAGAUGAGGAUGCUGAAGGAACUCAUGUGUCUGCUGAAUACCACCGGGCACCUAAAUCGUUGGAUAUCUUAAGUUUAUGAACUUGGCGGUAGAGACUAAGGGGGAUAAUUCUGGUUGCACCUGUGCAACGUGUGGUCCAGCUCUCAGAGUUUCACCGGUAAAAUAUCCACUUCCAGAGGACAUAAUAAAGCAACGGAAGUCCCUGUUCUGAUAUUUUCACCAGCGAACCAUCAGCUUCAGAAGGACAGAAGUACUCUUCUGGAAAAAAAGGUGAUAAGUUGGAUUGCAGGAAGAAGGCAACUGAAACUGAGUUCUCAUUACUCGAUUUACUUGGUGAGGAUUGGUCAAAUGGAAAAACAGAAGGAAGUCCAGUGCAUGAGUGUCAUGUUGCCUUUUCUGU